GACGAACGCUGGCGGCGUGCUUAACACAUGCAAGUCGAACGGAAAGGCCCUGCUUUUGUGGGGUGCUCGAGUGGCGAAAGGGUGAGUAACACGUGUGUAACCUGCCCUUGACUUUGGGAUAACUUCAGGAAACUGGGGCUCAUACCGGAUAGGAGCUCCUGCCGCAUGGUGGGGGUUGGAAAGGUUCGGCGGUUGGGGAUGGACUCGCGGCUUAUCAGCUUGUUGGUGGGGUAGUGGCUUACCAAGGCUUUGACGGGUAGCCGGCCUGAGAGGGUGACCGGCCACAUUGGGACUGAGAUACGGCCCAGACUCCUACGGGAGGCAGCAGUGGGGAAUAUUGCACAAUGGGCGGAAGCCUGAUGCAGCAACGCCGCGUGCGGGAUGACGGCCUUCGGGUUGUAAACCGCUUUCGCCUGUGACGAAGCGUGAGUGACGGUAAUGGGUAAAGAAGCACCGGCUAACUACGUG
RNAcentral lists this ribosomal RNA (468 nucleotides) under uncultured bacterium. RNAcentral's name for it is "partial 16S ribosomal RNA". It matches the Rfam family "Bacterial small subunit ribosomal RNA", at positions 28 to 507 of the family's 1533-position model. The record is from RNAcentral.